AUUGAACGCUGGCGGCAUGCCUUACACAUGCAAGUCGAACGGUAACAGGUCUUCGGAUGCUGACGAGUGGCGAACGGGUGAGUAAUACAUCGGAACGUGCCCGAUCGUGGGGGAUAACGGAGCGAAAGCUUUGCUAAUACCGCAUACGAUCUACGGAUGAAAGCAGGGGACCGCAAGGCCUUGCGCGGACGGAGCGGCCGAUGGCAGAUUAGUUAGUUGGUGGGAUAAAAGCUUACCAAGCCGACGAUCUGUAGCUGGUCUGAGAGGACGACCAGCCACACUGGGACUGAGACACGGCCCAGACUCCUACGGGAGGCAGCAGUGGGGAAUUUUGGACAAUGGGCGAAAGCCUGAUCCAGCCAUGCCGCGUGCAGGAUGAAGGCCUUCGGGUUGUAAACUGCUUUUGUACGGAACGAAAAGACUCUUUCUAAUAAAGAGGGUCCAUGACGGUACCGUAAGAAUAAGCACCGGCUAACUACGUG
RNAcentral lists this ribosomal RNA (482 nucleotides) under uncultured bacterium. RNAcentral describes it as "partial 16S ribosomal RNA". It matches the Rfam family "Bacterial small subunit ribosomal RNA", at positions 30 to 507 of the family's 1533-position model. The record is from RNAcentral.